GGUCACUGAGACACGGACCAGACUCCUACGGGAGGCAGCAGUGAGGAAUAUUGCGCAAUGGAGGAAACUCUGACGCAGCCAUGCCGCGUGCAGGAAGACUGCCCUAUGGGUUGUAAACUGCUUUUAUAUAGGAAGAACUACAGAUACGUGUAUUUGUUUGACGGUACUAUACGAAUAAGGACCGGCUAACUCCGUGCCAGCAGCCGCGGUAAUACGGAGGGUCCAAGCGUUAUCCGGAUUUAUUGGGUUUAAAGGGUCCGUAGGCGGGUCAUUAAGUCAGUGGUGAAAUCCUACAGCUCAACUGUAGAACUGCCAUUGAAACUGAUGACCUUGAAUAUAAUUGAAGUGGGCGGAAUGUGUCAUGUAGCGGUGAAAUGCUUAGAUAUGACACAGAACACCGAUUGCGAAGGCAGCUCACUAAGUUAUUAUUGACGCUGAGGGACGAAAGCGUGGGUAGCGAACAGGAUUAGAUACCCUGGUAGUCCACGCCGUAAACGAUGUAUACUCGUUGCUAGCGAUACACAGUUAGUGACCAAGCGAAAGUAUUAAGUAUACCACCUGGGGAGUACGAUCGCAAGAUUGAAACUCAAAGGAAUUGACGGGGGCCCGCACAGGCGGUGGAGCAUGUGGUUUAAUUCGAUGAUACGCGAGGAACCUUACCUGGGCUUAAAUGCAGAACGACAGACUAUGAAAAUAGUUUUUCUUCGGACGUUUUGCAAGGUGCUGCAUGGUUGUCGUCAGCUCGUGCCGUGAGGUGUUGGGUUAAGUCCCGCAACGAGCGCAACCCCUAUUCUUAGUUGCCAGCGAGUAAUGUCGGGGACUCUAAGGAAACUGCCCGCGCAAGCGUGGAGGAAGGUGGGGACGACGUCAAAUCAUCACGGCCCUUACGUCCAGGGCCACACACGUGCUACAAUGGUAGGGAMCAGAGGGCAGCCACCUGGUGACAGGGAGCGAAUCCUAAAACCCUAUCUCAGUUCGGAUCGGAGUCUGCAACUCGAUCCGUGAAGCUGGAAUCGCUAGUAAUCGCAUAUCAGCCAUGAUGCGGUGAAUACGUUCCCGGGCCUUGUACACACCGCCCGUCAAGCCAUGGAAGCUGGGGGUGCCUGGAAGUCGGUAACCGUAAGGAGCCGCCUAGGGUAAAACUGGUAACUAGGGCUAAAUCGUAACAAGGUAGCCGUACCGGAAGGUGCGGCUGGAUCACCUCCU
Molecule: ribosomal RNA, 1206 nt
Filed under: uncultured Bacteroidota bacterium
Lineage: Bacteria; Pseudomonadati; Bacteroidota
Description: bacterial SSU rRNA
Rfam family: Bacterial small subunit ribosomal RNA
Source: RNAcentral